ACAAGCAGUUAACAAAAAUUAGACAUUUUUUAUAAAAAUAAAGUAUUUAUACUUUUUUUAUAAUAUAGUUAUUUUCAACCUUUUUUUUUUUUUUUUUUUUUCUUUUUUUUAGAUUUGUUUUACCAGUUAAAAUUGACAUACUUGCUUUUACAUGGAUAUGCAGCAUUUAACCUAAUAUUAAUGUUCCUAUUAUUAUAUACAAACUAUGUAGAAAAGCUUAAAAAAUAUAUAGAGAAAUGUUUUGUUAUAUACAUGAACGUAGUAUUAAUUUUAUGGGUUUCAUGGUUGUUCAUAUUAUUUAUUGAGGUUAAAUAUCAUUUACCAAAUGACACGACAAAAAAGCAAUUUUUAUUUGCAAUAUACACGCCUUAUACAAUAAAAAUUUUUUUCUCUUUGUAUGCAUACCUUCCGCUUUUUUUUUUAAUAACCGUUGUACCGUGCAGAUUAUGUUACACCUUUUAUUAUGACAUAACGCUGCUUAUAAUAAAAGUUGCAAUUUAUACCUAUUACUUCAUCGUAACAGUGAAAAAAUAUUUCCUAAUAGACAAAAUUUUUAUGAUGAUAUCAGUUGUUAUAGGAAGUUUUUUUAUUUUUAUUUUAAGGCAUAUUUUUGAAUACCAAAGACGAUUAACAUUUCAUAAUUCUAAUAAACAUAAUAAUCAGAUUAUGGAUUUAAAAAUCAACUUAAAAGAAAAAGAGAAGUUAGCUGUAACAAAUAUUGAAACAAUUCAUGAUUUAAUCAACGACUCUUUAAAAAAUUUUUAUAAUAACGAAACAGAAUCAGCCAAUGACAACCAGCGUGUGCUUAAUAAUUUAGAAAAAGUUUUAAGCAUUUUAAAAGAAGAUAAUUUAUUUUCGCCGGAGUUGAAAACGACAACACAAAAGAAUUAUAACAAUAUAUAUGAUUAUAUAAUGAGUAUAAAACAAAGUAAAUAUUUUUCAAGUAUUACUGAUACAUCGAAUAAGGAUUUAGCAUCACAUGAAUCUAAAUAUAUUAAAGCAGAAGAGACCAACGAAUUCAAAGAUGAAUCACAGACAGAGUCUAUUACUGAAUCAUUGUCAGAAUUAAAACCUCCGAGUAAAACUGAUUUACCAUCUAUUGACGAUUUGAAUGAAAAACAAUUGAAAAAUUCAAAAUAUACAAUUAAUAUAAACAUGGACACUGAAAAUAUAGACGUCAAUCAAUGGGACGUAAAAUUUUUAAAUAGACCCCAACUAAAUUAUGAUAUAUUCAUUCAAAUUGGCAAAAAAUUGUUAAGUACUUGUUACACUGAUAAUCAACAGAUCUCAGAUGAUACAUUAUUCUCACUACUUCAUGAAAUGAAAAAUGGAUAUAACAAUGUUCCAUAUCACAACUGUAUCCAUGCGGCAAUGGUAAAAGACAUACAUACAUAUACAUAUAUACAUACAUAUAUAUAUAUAUAUAUAUAUAUAUAUAUAUAUAUAUAUAUAUACACACAAAUUGGCUCUUUUACACAUAGGUAACCCAACACUGUAACAUUUUAGUAAAUAACUUAGAAACAUCAAACAUAUUAAAAGAUAACGAGCUUGCGGCAUUUUUUAUCUCAACUUUAGGUCAUGAUAUAGGCCACUUUGGAAGAACGAACUUUUUUCUUAAAAACAAUUCGAACUUUUUAAAUAUGAUUUAUAAUGAUAAAUCAAUUUUAGAAAAUUAUCAUUGUUCUUAUCUAUUUAGUAUAUUAAAUAAGGAUAAAAAUAAUAUAUUCAAAAAUGAGACUUCUAAAAGUUUAUUAAAUUUAAGGAAUCAGAUAAUAGAAGUAAUUUUAGCGACAGAUAUGAGUAAACACAUAAAAAUAUUAGCACAAUUUCGUAUAAAAUCCAUUAAGAUAAAAUCAUAUGUUGAAAAAAACAUUUUGUUAUGUUUAAAAAUGGUUAUAAAAGCAGCUGAUUUGGCACAUAACUGUGUUGAUUGGGAUGAGCAUUACUUAUGGGUAAAACGAUUAAUAAAUGAAUUUUAUUGUGAAGGAGAUGAACA
Long non-coding RNA from Piliocolobus tephrosceles (Ugandan red Colobus), 1996 nucleotides. The record is from Ensembl. NCBI's taxonomy places the organism in Eukaryota, Metazoa, Chordata, Mammalia, Primates, Cercopithecidae.